GACGAACGCUGGCGGCGUGCUUAACACAUGCAAGUCGAGCGAUGAAGCACCUUCGGGUGUGAAUUAGCGGCGAACGGGUGAGGAACACGUGAGAAAUCUGCCUUCAACACUGGGAUAACUCCGGGAAACCGGGGCUAAUACCGGAUAUGAAAUCUGCGGGCAUCCGCGGAUUUGGAAAGUUUUUCGGUUGAAGAUGAUCUCGCGGCCUAUCAGCUUGUUGGUGAGGUAAUGGCUCACCAAGGCGACGACGGGUAGCCGGCCUGAGAGGGCGACCGGCCACACUGGGACUGAGACACGGCCCAGACUCCUACGGGAGGCAGCAGUGGGGAAUAUUGGGCAAUGGAGGAAACUCUGACCCAGCGACGCCGCGUGCGGGAUGAAGG
RNAcentral lists this ribosomal RNA (383 nucleotides) under uncultured bacterium. RNAcentral's name for it is "bacterial SSU rRNA". It matches the Rfam family "Bacterial small subunit ribosomal RNA", at positions 28 to 414 of the family's 1533-position model. The record is from RNAcentral.